This is a long non-coding RNA of Lactuca sativa (garden lettuce), 508 nucleotides long. RefSeq lists it as uncharacterized. NCBI's taxonomy places the organism in Eukaryota, Viridiplantae, Streptophyta, Magnoliopsida, Asterales, Asteraceae. The record is from RefSeq and is a predicted model, not a curated record.
UGAGAUAUCCCUGUAAAAUUGGAAUUGAAUUCUUAUUUUAUCAUUGAAAUAGCAUCAUCUUUACACACAAACACCGUCAUCUCAUUCCAGAAAAUUGGUCACCGCUACCAUCAUCAACGAAGGUCACCUCCGGCAGGCGCCUCCCAUUACUGCACUAACGUCGCAUAUCCCUCCAACCCCAACGCCAUCUCCUUGAACUCCGGAUGCAAGUUAAUAGUUUAGAAGUUGGGAAGGAUGCGAUUUCCAAAGAAUGUGGAAGUUCACCAACUAUUGAAUAGUACCCGGUUAUGAAGAUGCUGGCAUUGGUGUCGAAAAGAAAGAAAACAUGGAGAAAGAAAAUGUAUUCUUACAUAAAAGAACAUAUUUUUGCCAUAAUAGAAUGUAUUAUGGCAGAAUGAUUUAGAAUAUUGAACUAACCAUUCUUUUGCAAUAUAUAAAUCAAAUCAUUCUAUCAGAAUUUUAUAAUAAGAUUGUGGUAUGCAUUAUGUUUUAAAAGAUUUGAGUUUUA